This 253-nucleotide ribosomal RNA is filed under the name uncultured bacterium. RNAcentral describes it as "partial 16S ribosomal RNA". It matches the Rfam family "Bacterial small subunit ribosomal RNA", at positions 524 to 776 of the family's 1533-position model. The record is from RNAcentral.
UACGGAGGAUGCAAGCGUUAUCCGGAUUUAUUGGGUUUAAAGGGUGCGUAGGCGGGAUUGUAAGUCAGUGGUGAAAUCUUGCAGCUUAACUGUAAAAUAGCCAUUGAUACUGCAGUUCUUGAGUACAAUUGAGGUAGGCGGAAUGUGUAAUGUAGCGGUGAAAUGCUUAGAUAUUACACAGAACACCGAUUGCGUAGGCAGCUUACUAAGUUGUAACUGACGCUGAGGCACGAAAGCGUGGGUAGCGAACAGG